GAUGAACGCUGGCGGCGUGCCUAAUACAUGCAAGUCGAGCGAACGGACGAGAAGCUUGCUUCUCUGAUGUUAGCGGCGGACGGGUGAGUAACACGUGGAUAACCUACCUAUAAGACUGGGAUAACUUCGGGAAACCGGAGCUAAUACCGGAUGAUAUUUUGAACCGCAUGGUUCAAAAGUGAAAGACGGUCUUGCUGUCACUUAUAGAUGGAUCCGCGCUGCAUUAGCUAGUUGGUAAGGUAACGGCUUACCAAGGCAACGAUGCAUAGCCGACCUGAGAGGGUGAUCGGCCACACUGGAACUGAGACACGGUCCAGACUCCUACGGGAGGCAGCAGUAGGGAAUCUUCCGCAAUGGGCGAAAGCCUGACGGAGCAACGCCGCGUGAGUGAUGAAGGUCUUCGGAUCGUAAAACUCUGUUAUUAGGGAAGAACAUAUGUGUAAGUAACUGUGCACAUCUUGACGGUACCUAAUCAGAAAGCCACGGCUAACUACGGG
Molecule: ribosomal RNA, 497 nt
Filed under: uncultured bacterium
Lineage: Bacteria
Description: partial 16S ribosomal RNA
Rfam family: Bacterial small subunit ribosomal RNA
Source: RNAcentral